UUUUCCUACGGGGCGCAGCAGUGAGGAAUAUUGGUCAAUGGGCGGGAGCCUGAACCAGCCAAGCCGCGUGAGGGAAGAAGGUACAGCGUAUCGUAAACCUCUUUUGUCAGGGAACAAAGGCGGGGACUAGUCCCCGGAUGAGGGUACCUGAAGAAAAAGCAUCGGCUAACUCCGUGCCAGCAGCCGCGGUAAUACGGAGGAUGCGAGCGUUAUCCGGAUUUAUUAGGUUUAAAGGGGGCGCGGGCGGCCUGUUAAGUCAGCGGUAA
Molecule: ribosomal RNA, 266 nt
Filed under: uncultured bacterium
Lineage: Bacteria
Description: partial 16S ribosomal RNA
Rfam family: Bacterial small subunit ribosomal RNA
Source: RNAcentral